GUCGUGAGUUCGAUGAGUAGGGCGGGACACGUGACAUCCUGUCUGAAUAUGGGGGGACCAUCCUCCAAGGCUAAAUACUCCUGACUGACCGAUAGUGAACCAGUACCGUGAGGGAAAGGCGAAAAGAACCCCGGCGAGGGGAGUGAAAUAGAACCUGAAACCGUGUACGUACAAGCAGUGGGAGCACCUUCGUGGUGUGACUGCGUACCUUUUGUAUAAUGGGUCAGCGACUUAUAUUUUGUAGCAAGGUUAACCGUAUAGGGGAGCCGUAGGGAAACCGAGUCUUAACUGGGCGAAUAGUUGCAAGGUAUAGACCCGAAACCCGGUGAUCUAGCCAUGGGCAGGUUGAAGGUUGGGUAACACUAACUGGAGGACCGAACCGACUAAUGUUGAAAAAUUAGCGGAUGACUUGUGGCUGGGGGUGAAAGGCCAAUCAAACCGGGAGAUAGCUGGUUCUCCCCGAAAGCUAUUUAGGUAGCGCCUCGUGAACUCAUCUUCGGGGGUAGAGCACUGUUUCGGCUAGGGGGCCAUCCCGGCUUACCAAACCGAUGCAAACUCCGAAUACCGAAGAAUGUUAUCACGGGAGACACACGGCGGGUGCUAACGUCCGUCGUGAAGAGGGAAACAACCCAGACCGCCAGCUAAGGUCCCAAAGUCAUGGUUAAGUGGGAAACGAUGUGGGAAGGCAUAGACAGCCAGGAUGUUGGCUUAGAAGCAGCCAUCAUUUAAAGAAAGCGUAAUAGCUCACUGGUCGAGUCGGCCUGCGCGGAAGAUGUAACGGGGCUAAACCAUGCACCGAAGCUGCGGCAGCGACGCUUAGGCGUUGUUGGGUAGGGGAGCGUUCUGUAAGCCGUUGAAGGUGGCCUGUGAGGGUUGCUGGAGGUAUCAGAAGUGCGAAUGCUGACAUAAGUAACGAUAAAGCGGGUGAAAAGCCCGCUCGCCGGAAGACCAAGGGUUCCUGUCCAACGUUAAUCGGGGCAGGGUGAGUCGACCCCUAAGGCGAGGCUGAAAAGCGUAGUCGAUGGGAAACAGGUUAAUAUUCCUGUACUUGGUGUUACUGCGAAGGGGGGACGGAGAAGGCUAGGCUAGCCGGGCGACGGUUGUCCCGGUUUAAGCGUGUAGGGGGUGUGACCUGGUAAAUCCGGUUGCAUAUUAACCCUGAGGCGUGAUGACGAUGCACUACGGUGCAGAAGUAGUUGAUGCCCUGCUUCCAGGAAAAUCCUCUAAGCUCCAGGUAACAUUAAAUCGUACCCCAAACCGACACAGGUGGUCAGGUAGAGAAUACCAAGGCGCUUGAGAGAACUCGGGUGAAGGAACUAGGCAAAAUGGUGCCGUAACUUCGGGAGAAGGCACGCUGGCAUGUAGGUGAAGUCCCUUGCGGAUGGAGCUGAAGCCAGUCGAAGAUACCAGCUGGCUGCAACUGUUUAAUAAAAACACAGCACUGUGCAAACACGAAAGUGGACGUAUACGGUGUGACGCCUGCCCGGUGCUGGAAGGUUAAUUGAUGGGGUCAGCCGCAAGGCGAAGCUCUUGAUCGAAGCCCCAGUAAACGGCGGCCGUAACUAUAACGGUCCUAAGGUAGCGAAAUUCCUUGUCGGGUAAGUUCCGACCUGCACGAAUGGCGUAAUGAUGGCCAGGCUGUCUCCACCCGAGACUCAGUGAAAUUGAACUCGCUGUGAAGAUGCAGUGUACCCGCGGCAAGACGGAAAGACCCCGUGAACCUUUACUAUAGCUUGACACUGAACAUUGAGCCUUGAUGUGUAGGAUAGGUGGGAGGCUUUGAAGCGUGGACGCCAGUCUGCGUGGAGCCAUCCUUGAAAUACCACCCUUUAAUGUUUGAUGUUCUAACUCGGCCCCAUAAUCUGGGGUGAGGACAGUGUCUGGUGGGUAGUUUGACUGGGGCGGUCUCCUCCCAAAGAGUAACGGAGGAGCACGAAGGUUAGCUAAUCACGGUCGGACAUCGUGAGGUUAGUGCAAAGGCAUAAGCUAGCUUGACUGCGAGAGUGACGGCUCGAGCAGGUACGAAAGUAGGUCUUAGUGAUCCGGUGGUUCUGAAUGGAAGGGCCAUCGCUCAACGGAUAAAAGGUACUCCGGGGAUAACAGGCUGAUACCGCCCAAGAGUUCAUAUCGACGGCGGUGUUUGGCACCUCGAUGUCGGCUCAUCACAUCCUGGGGCUGAAGUAGGUCCCAAGGGUAUGGCUGUUCGCCAUUUAAAGUGGUACGCGAGCUGGGUUUAGAACGUCGUGAGACAGUUCGGUCCCUAUCUGCCGUGGGCGUUGGAAGAUUGAGAGGGGUUGCUCCUAGUACGAGAGGACCGGAGUGAACGCACCACUGGUGUUCGGGUUGUCAUGCCAAUGGCAUUGCCCGGUAGCUAAGUGCGGAAAAGAUAAGCGCUGAAAGCAUCUAAGCGCGAAACUUGCCUCAAGAUGAGUCUUCCCUGGGCCUUUAAGGCCCCUGAAGGAACGUUUAAGACUAAGACGUUGAUAGGCUGGGUGUGUAAGUGCAGCGAUGCAUUGAGCUAACCAGUACUAAUGAUCCGUGAGGCUUAACCUU
Molecule: ribosomal RNA, 2553 nt
Filed under: Serratia marcescens
Lineage: Bacteria; Pseudomonadati; Pseudomonadota; Gammaproteobacteria; Enterobacterales; Yersiniaceae
Description: bacterial LSU rRNA
Rfam family: Bacterial large subunit ribosomal RNA
Source: RNAcentral